Long non-coding RNA from Tyto alba (common barn owl), 260 nucleotides. RefSeq lists it as uncharacterized. The record is from RefSeq and is a predicted model, not a curated record. NCBI's taxonomy places the organism in Eukaryota, Metazoa, Chordata, Aves, Strigiformes, Tytonidae. The transcript has 3 exons.
CUGGUUUCCUUCACCGCUUGGUUCUAAUUAUGUGCCGCUAACGAGGCAGGAGGUGCCGAGGUGGCCGCUGAGGGAGAGGGAAACUUCACGUUCAGCCAAGCCAGAGAUGAGCCAGUGGAAGGCGAGGCACCAGAGGAAGCCUGGCAGACAGCAUCAAGAAAAGAUACAGUGGUAAUCUUGAUCCAGGCUGUCAGCUUGGCUGCGCUGGUGGGCUAGCUCUGUGGAGGCAGGUUUGCUUCCUGGCUGAAUGCAUUGGCUCC